RNAcentral lists this ribosomal RNA (436 nucleotides) under Salmonella enterica subsp. enterica serovar Anatum. RNAcentral describes it as "partial 23S ribosomal RNA". It matches the Rfam family "Bacterial large subunit ribosomal RNA", at positions 1084 to 1524 of the family's 2925-position model. Lineage: Bacteria; Pseudomonadati; Pseudomonadota; Gammaproteobacteria; Enterobacterales; Enterobacteriaceae. The record is from RNAcentral.
CCCAGACAGCCAGGAUGUUGGCUUAGAAGCAGCCAUCAUUUAAAGAAAGCGUAAUAGCUCACUGGUCGAGUCGGCCUGCGCGGAAGAUGUAACGGGGCUAAACCAUGCACCGAAGCUGCGGCAGCGACACUGUGUGUUGUUGGGUAGGGGAGCGUUCUGUAAGCCUGUGAAGGUGGCCUGUGAGGGUUGCUGGAGGUAUCAGAAGUGCGAAUGCUGACAUAAGUAACGAUAAAGCGGGUGAAAAGCCCGCUCGCCGGAAGACCAAGGGUUCCUGUCCAACGUUAAUCGGGGCAGGGUGAGUCGACCCCUAAGGCGAGGCCGAAAGGCGUAGUCGAUGGGAAACAGGUUAAUAUUCCUGUACUUGGUGUUACUGCGAAGGGGGGACGGAGAAGGCUAUGUUGGCCGGGCGACGGUUGUCCCGGUUUAAGCGUGUAGG